This is a small nuclear RNA of Manis javanica (Malayan pangolin), 104 nucleotides long. NCBI's taxonomy places the organism in Eukaryota, Metazoa, Chordata, Mammalia, Pholidota, Manidae. The record is from RefSeq and is a predicted model, not a curated record.
GUGCUCACCUCAGCGGCACAUGUAAUAAGAUUGGAAUGACACGGUGAUCAGUGAGGCCCCGACACAAGGGUGACAUGCAGGUUCAAGAAGCGUUCCAUAUUUUG